RNAcentral lists this ribosomal RNA (482 nucleotides) under uncultured bacterium. RNAcentral's name for it is "partial 16S ribosomal RNA". It matches the Rfam family "Bacterial small subunit ribosomal RNA", at positions 30 to 507 of the family's 1533-position model. The record is from RNAcentral.
AUUGAACGCUGGCGGCAUGCUUUACACAUGCAAGUCGAACGGCAGCGCGGGGCAACCUGGCGGCGAGUGGCGAACGGGUGAGUAAUAUAUCGGAACGUACCCAGAAGUGGGGGAUAACGUAGCGAAAGUUACGCUAAUACCGCAUACGAUCUACGGAUGAAAGUAGGGGACCGCAAGGCCUUAUGCUUUUGGAGCGGCCGAUAUCUGAUUAGCUAGUUGGUGAGGUAAAGGCUCACCAAGGCGACGAUCAGUAGCUGGUCUGAGAGGACGACCAGCCACACUGGAACUGAGACACGGUCCAGACUCCUACGGGAGGCAGCAGUGGGGAAUUUUGGACAAUGGGCGCAAGCCUGAUCCAGCAAUGCCGCGUGAGUGAAGAAGGCCUUCGGGUUGUAAAGCCCUUUUGUCAGGGAAGAAACGGUAGAGGCUAAUAUCCUUUGCUAAUGACGGUACCUGAAGAAUAAGCACCGGCUAACUACGUG